AAGUCGUAACAAGGUUUCCGUAGGUGAACCUGCGGAAGGAUCAUUAACGAAUAACUAUGGCGUUGGUUGUAGCUGGCUCCUCGGAGCAAUGUGCACGCCCGCCAUUUUUAUCUUUCCACCUGUGCACCGACUGUAGGUCUGGAUACCUCUCGCCUCCGGGCGGAUGCGAGGGUUGCUCGUAAGGGCUUCCCUUGAACUUCCAGGCUCUACGUCUUUUUACACACCCCAAUAGUAUGAUGCAGAAUGUAGUCAAUGGGCUUCUCAGCCUAUAAAACACUUAUACAACUUUCAGCAACGGAUCUCUUGGCUCUC
Molecule: unclassified non-coding RNA, 312 nt
Filed under: Coprinellus xanthothrix
Lineage: Eukaryota; Fungi; Basidiomycota; Agaricomycetes; Agaricales; Psathyrellaceae
Description: partial internal transcribed spacer region
Rfam family: Eukaryotic small subunit ribosomal RNA (bases 1-46)
Source: RNAcentral